AUCUCCAUGUUCUCUUUGUUUCUACCACUGUAUUGCAUGUAUGUGUAAAAAAAACCUAAAUUAAAUAAGUAAAUAAAGUCCCUUUAGUCUAUGAAAUUGAAAUACAAUCAAACAGUGAACAUUUGUCAGGCAGGUUUGGACAGAGCCGGCUGCAGUGCCGUCUGAGGACUGCUGUUUUCGUGCUCCCUCCUCCCGGCUCCCUGUGGACAGCCCCCAUACUUGCUCACAAAGCCCCUUCCACAUCGGAAGCCCCAGCUCAGCUCCUCUGGACACAGACAGGCACCGCCUUCCUCGUAGCACCCAGCGAAUAGCCGGUGAGCGCUUUCCAGCUGCGGCACUGGUUAACAGCGUCAGGGGCUUUUUCCUUCGAUGGAACACCCGGAGUCACCUAGUGCGAUUCUAUCCUGCGUGACUGCUCUGUGCCAGGCAUCGGGUCAGUCACUGGGAGGAACAUGGACAGGAGUAAGUUAUGGUCACUA
Molecule: long non-coding RNA, 479 nt
Filed under: Bos taurus (domestic cattle)
Lineage: Eukaryota; Metazoa; Chordata; Mammalia; Artiodactyla; Bovidae
Description: long non-coding RNA NONBTAT017276
Source: RNAcentral